GACGAACGCUGGCGGCGUGCCUAAUACAUGCAAGUCGAACGCAGUGGGGACGGGUGAGUAACACGUGGGUAACCUCCCAUCAGAGGGGAUAACACUUGGAAACAGGUGCUAAACCGAUACUGAUGGAUGGACCCGCGGUGCAUUAGCUAGUUGGUGAGGUAACGGCUCACCCAGGCCACGAUGCAUAGCCGACCUUAGAGGGUGAUCGUGCAAACUGGGACUGAGACACGGCCCAGACGCCGACGUGAGGCGGCAGUAGGGAAUCGUCGGCAAUGGACGAAAGUCUGACCGAGCAACGACGCGUGAGUGAAGAAGGUUUUCGGAUCGUAAAACUCUGUUGUUAGAGAAGCGGUAUAGAACCAGAAAGCCACUGCUAACUACGUGCCAGCCGCCGCGGUAAUUC
RNAcentral lists this ribosomal RNA (403 nucleotides) under uncultured bacterium. Its description in RNAcentral is "partial 16S ribosomal RNA". It matches the Rfam family "Bacterial small subunit ribosomal RNA", at positions 28 to 526 of the family's 1533-position model. The record is from RNAcentral.